Molecule: ribosomal RNA, 350 nt
Filed under: uncultured Conexibacter sp. FR024
Lineage: Bacteria; Bacillati; Actinomycetota; Thermoleophilia; Solirubrobacterales; Conexibacteraceae
Description: bacterial SSU rRNA
Rfam family: Bacterial small subunit ribosomal RNA
Source: RNAcentral
GAAUUCGCCCUUAGAGUUUGAUCAUGGCUCAGGACGAACGCUGGCGGCGUGCCUAACACAUGCAAGUGGAGCGACGAACCGGGGCUUGCCCCGGGGCAGAGCCGCGAACGGGUGAGUAACACGUGGGUUACCUGCCCCGAUGACCGGGACAACCCGUCGAAAGACGGGCUAAUACCGGAUGUGCCCGCAAGGGGAAAGGAAGCUUCGGCCUCCGCAUCGGGAUGGGCCCGCGGCGCAUUAGCUUGUUGGUGGGGUAAUGGCCUACCAAGGCGACGAUGCGUAGNUGGUCUGAGAGGACGAUCAGUCACACUGGGACUGAGACACGGUCCAGACUCNUACGGGACGCAGCA